UUGGCCGUUUCUUCGGUUUGC
RNAcentral lists this microRNA (21 nucleotides) under Heligmosomoides polygyrus. RNAcentral's name for it is "hpo-miR-10068-3p". Lineage: Eukaryota; Metazoa; Nematoda; Chromadorea; Rhabditida; Heligmosomidae. The record is from miRBase by way of RNAcentral.